CAAAAUUAUAAUUUUAAAAAUUAAUUUUUGAAUGCACGAUUUUGAUCAAACAUUUUUGAAUUAAACGGUCCAGAUUAACUAAGCUUUUAAGCGUAAGAAGAUCAAAGUUCGCCCAGUCUAUUUUUUGCCAACUUAGCAUUUAUUAUGCAUAUUGACCAUGGAAGAGAACUGCUCAAUUUUUCCAUGCCAGCUCACCCACUAAUUUUAUUAAGUCCCAUUUUAAAUGUCACUUGCACACACACACAGUUUUACAUGCAUGCAUUAAUUAUGUAUUUAAG
This 278-nucleotide long non-coding RNA is filed under the name Panax ginseng (ginseng). RNAcentral's name for it is "long non-coding RNA (PGIN_LNC005448)". Lineage: Eukaryota; Viridiplantae; Streptophyta; Magnoliopsida; Apiales; Araliaceae. The record is from RNAcentral.